Austrofundulus limnaeus is the source of this 1578-nucleotide long non-coding RNA. RefSeq lists it as uncharacterized. The transcript has 3 exons. The record is from RefSeq and is a predicted model, not a curated record. Lineage: Eukaryota; Metazoa; Chordata; Actinopteri; Cyprinodontiformes; Rivulidae.
AGAAAACACUAGGAAAACUAAGUACAAGACGUACAGUAGAAGAGCUGACAGAGGAGCGAGCUGAAACAUGAAUAAUUCUGACUCAUGAUGCUGCGACUGGAAACAAGCUGGAUGUGAAGGCUGAGGAUGCGUUAGCAUGAAAGCAGCUGUUUCUGGUGGAACAUGGCUUUGCUGAUGUGAAGAAUCCGGGUGGAGAAGAAGGAGCCUUUUUAGUAAUUUCGGCUGAGUGCGGAGCCUUAAUUUAAGGCACUUUAGCGUGGUCUCGGUGAGGCGGGGAUAAUGGGGGAAAUUAUAGCCUCCAACACGCUGUUUGCACUUCCUGAAAAUCAAAUUGCUCUCAGUGCAAAGGAACAAACCUGCAGAGCUUAAUGGAGGCAAUUUCCUGUUCUGGUUUCUCACUUCUUAGAGUGCACUUUUUAAAGUUACACGGCRGAUUAUUAACGUUACCUGAAGGUUUUGAUCUCCAACACUUGCUGUAAAUUAUUAACGUGGCUGUUUAUGUGCUCASAUGUGAUGAAAUAUUUAAAAGAGAGUGAAAACAUGUAGAUCCACCGCUUGUUUUAUUUCAUUUGACUGAAUUUAUAUUAAUAAAAGUUCAAAUUAAAAUUAGGAGCUGGUUGAGUAGAAAUGAUCAGUUUUAUUUCUUUUUGUUUGCUAAUUGUUUUAGUUGCUCACACCUGUUCACAGUGUCAUUAACUCAGCUUCUCCAUCUUCUUAUCAUUCUCAGRCUGUUCCAUUUUAUUUAUUGAUAACCUGACGAACUCUUCAAAGGAUCAAACCGUCUCUUUAAUCAGCCACAAUCACAGUUGAGUUUGAACAAUAAAGCGAAGUCUUUGCUCUUUAAAUAUCUGACACUUCAGAGGAGUUUGUUUUGUUUGGAUGAGAGGAACUCUGAUCCAGAAACACUCUAAUCAGGUCUGAGUCUGCAUCAAGUUUACAAUAAUCAGCUCUUCUCUUUGUCUCAGGGAGCUCAUCAAACUGCUCUUUUCCUUCCAGAUGAUUGUAAAUGAAACUGAAUUAGCGACAAUCGUCUUCCAACCUAAUUUUAUGAGCUGUUUAAARUGAAGAGGCUCAAAUUUGCAGCAUGCUGGCUUCAUUCACGUUUACAAGGAUGUUUAAUCAGAGGCAGCCUUUCAGCUGCUGCUCACUGCAUGGGCUUCUGACUUAACCUGUCGGCUGCUUUUAGCUACUAAUCGGCUACUUUUUACUUUUAUUUUCAUACUUUAGCCAGCCUUAUGUUACUGCUUUUACUUAUAGUUAGUGUUUUGCUACCUUUUGCUUUCUAGCUAUAUUUUGACACUUUUUGCUUUGAAAUAGCAUUUUGCUAUGUUUAGUUAGCCUUUGGCUUCUAUUCUCAUUUAGCUAGCCUUUUAAUAUUUUAUACUUAGCAUUUUAAUACUUGUAGCUAACCUUUUGUUAUUUAUUUGCUUAUAGCUAUUUUUUGCUUUUAGCUAGAUUUUGAUAUGCUUUGAUUUGAGAUAGCAUUUUUCCAUGUUUAGUUAGUCUCUGACAGGGGCGGAUCUAGGAUUUUUCUGAGUKAGGGGCCAUCAAGGGGCCACAAUAUUCAUAGAGAUGCCA